Long non-coding RNA from Populus trichocarpa (black cottonwood), 566 nucleotides. RefSeq lists it as uncharacterized. Lineage: Eukaryota; Viridiplantae; Streptophyta; Magnoliopsida; Malpighiales; Salicaceae. The transcript has 5 exons. The record is from RefSeq and is a predicted model, not a curated record.
UGUUCAUCAUCUUCGCACUCGUCUUCAGCAACCCUAUUUUUUUUCUUCAUCUUCUUCUCCUUCAUCUUAACAGUUUCAAUAUUUCUCUGCAAACCAACAAAAACAGAGACCCAUGGCAACAUCGCACCAGAUCCAUCAUCAUCACCAUCGAACAUCCUGUUUUACCCCUUCUCUGUAAACGGGUUAGGUUUUGCACUAUUUUCUUCGAUAGCUCAGGUGUUAUUCUGUUGUGUUGAUCCAUCUCCCUCACCUGUAACUGAAGAACACAGGUUUUUAAGCGUGGCAUCAAGUUAUCUUCCUCAAUAAUUAAUCAGCCUUUGGGUUCUUCUUGGCACGAAAGCGGAGCAGUGGAUUUCAAGUAGCAUCCACUCAUCGGCCAUGUACAAAAGGAACUGCCACAUUAGAGAACUGACCUUGAUGGAACUCAGUACAAUCUCUUACUGUUAGACAGUGAAGGAAUAGAUGCCUAUGAUCAAACACAAUAUGAAUGGCUUAUUGGAUCACAAUAUGCUACAUCUGAUUGGGUUGCAAUAAGAAAACCUCCACCUUGUGCCAUUGAUUCUUGG